GGGGUUAGAAGAAUGGCCCGAUUUGCGUUCGCAACGCAUAGGUCGGGGGUUCGAAUCCCCUCAGCUCCA
This 69-nucleotide transfer RNA is filed under the name Pseudomonadota bacterium. RNAcentral describes it as "Proteobacteria bacterium (marine sediment metagenome) tRNA-Ser". The record is from RNAcentral. Lineage: Bacteria; Pseudomonadati; Pseudomonadota.